CAAGCCAGUCGGUUGACACAACCAACGUUCCCGUGUGUCUGUGCCCAAUUUGGAUAUACUAAGUGCAGUUUAUCAAAGAGUUGGAGGCAGAGUGAAGUGUGGAGUAUUGUGUGAUAACUGUGUGACUUAAAAUGCGUACAGAGGGAUCGGUUACAACAACAAGAGAUAAUGGAUAACUUCGAUGGCCCGCCAGGGCACUGUCUCAAAGUGGAGAGUCAUGGUGGCCCUGGGAGGUACCUGCCGGCGGCGUCCUCCUACCAUUCCCACCCAUCACCCGACCCAGCAAAUCUUAGUUUCGGCUCGCUCAACGAUGACGAUGAUUUCGGCUUCACGAAAAAGAAGGCUGUUAGGGUAAGU
Non-coding RNA from Penaeus vannamei (Pacific white shrimp), 357 nucleotides. NCBI's taxonomy places the organism in Eukaryota, Metazoa, Arthropoda, Malacostraca, Decapoda, Penaeidae. The record is from RefSeq and is a predicted model, not a curated record.